GUUUGUUGGUAAGCAAGAUUACUCAUGAGGUUUACCACUAAUGUACACACAACUUGGUGGAAGGGUGACAGUUUGAUUUUUGAUUAGGUUUUAAUUGAAAUAAAAGUGACUGUUGGGCAUUGCUUGAGGUCUCUGCUGUACUAAAUUCCCUUGAUGUUUCUGUUUGGGUCCCUCUCUCCAGGUGAAAUGGAGUAGCAAACCAAGAAGGUGCUGGUAAAACACUAGGGGAGGAAGUAGAGCAAUGUAAUGCUUCCCUCUCCAGGAUAGCAGUCACCACAAAGCAUAUGUCAAAAGCAGGUGCUGUAUAAUUGUACCUCUGUAUACAGAAUAAAAGACCUUUAUAUUAUUACAAGUGAAUCUUUACAGAACUCAUCUCUGUGUACUUGCAGGACGCAAUGACAUGCUGACACUCCUUGCCAUAAGAUGGAACCAGCAGAAAUGUCCAAACCUGGCUACUGCACUUUCCCAGAGAUACCAUAAGACAUCUAAAGCUCUCAAUAUCCCGAUUGGGGACCUGGAAACCCUGAAAGCCCCGCAUCAACUGGGUGAACAAACUGUGGAAGAAUUUGUGCAAGAAGUAAAAGAAUGGGCCGAUGGAGAAAUUGACCAUCAAGGCACACCACAAGCUUUGUGUAAGAAGAUUGAGGCCUUAACAACCAGCAUCAACACGAGAGCUCAACUCCUAUAUUGGAAAAAUGGUAUGUUAACAUUUAAGGCCUUUUCAGAUCACAGUCUGAAAUGUCUCCAAACUCACUUCAUAAUUGGCAAAUUACACAGAGUGGUAUGCAUUUCAUGUACUGUGCGUAUUCUUUAG
RNAcentral lists this long non-coding RNA (814 nucleotides) under Dicentrarchus labrax (European seabass). RNAcentral's name for it is "lncRNA (ENSDLAG00005027019.1)". The record is from RNAcentral. Lineage: Eukaryota; Metazoa; Chordata; Actinopteri; Moronidae.